ACCUCAAUAGCUCAGUUGGGAUGAGAGUGUCAGACUGAAGAUCUGAAGGCCGUGUGUUUGAUUCACAGUCAUGGCA
RNAcentral lists this transfer RNA (76 nucleotides) under Fragilariopsis cylindrus CCMP1102. It matches the Rfam family "tRNA". Rfam says of the family: Transfer RNA (tRNA) molecules are approximately 80 nucleotides in length. Their secondary structure includes four short double-helical elements and three loops (D, anti-codon, and T loops). Lineage: Eukaryota; Bacillariophyta; Bacillariophyceae; Bacillariales; Bacillariaceae. The record is from Rfam by way of RNAcentral.